CCAACAGAAAUUCAUAAAUAACUGAAUGGCUCAUAUGUCUAGAACCGAAAAACAAAAAAAAUCCAAAAAAGCAAAUCGAAACCGAACUGAAAACUGAAAACUGAACACCCAUUCGUAGAGGCAACCAAGGUGGUUUUUAGAAUAUAUAUAUAUAUAUAGCUACAGUGGUGUAACUUAAGGCAUGUAUUGGAGGAAGAAGGAGAGAGCAAGGAUGUAUAGCUACAAUUUUGUCAAUUAGUGUGAAUGGAAUGUUAGAUAUGCAGAGGUCUCAAUGAGCAAAGUGUUCACAUAAAUGAUCAAAAGAAAAUAAAUGAGAUAAAAGUUUGAUACGAAGAAGACUAUCUAAUCUUAUAUUAUAAUGGGAUUGUUUCCUUACUUCUGAGGAUUUCCACGUGUGCAUCUGUGGUCCCACAUUUUUUUUUAAUUUGUUAUUGAGCUGCCGUUCGUUUGUGAAAAAUUGCAUCGUCAAUGGGUCUUUGACACCUAAUAUGAUUUUUGGCCCAGUAUACAUCUGCUCGAAACCUGUUUGUCCAUGGAAUCUAGGGUUUGAUUAAUUUAGAGAGUACACUCAGAAUUUGUGAUUCCAUGAAUCGAUUUCUAAUUCUCUACCUCUACGUCUCCCAUUUUUACUCAAUCAAUGAUGGACCAGGUUCGUUACACCUCCUCCAUUCCGCGUUAUAUAUACUCCAUCUUUAAACUCACUGCACUUCACAUGAGUCAGCGUCUCUUUUCUUCUUCAUCACAGUUAACCACAAAUCAUCUCCUCCUCCACCAACAUGCGCAACGGUGAAUCUCCAACCUCGCAGGACCUCACUCACUUCCACCAACCGUCGCAGCUCAGAAACUCUCGCUUAAUUUCCAUAAUCCUCCUCCUCCGCCUCGCCUCUUUCUCCUUCUCACUCGCCUCCGCCGUCUUCAUGCUCACCAAUUUCCAAGGCUCCGGUUCACCUCACUGGUACUACUUCGACGCUUUCAGAUUCAUGUUCGUGGCGAACGCGAUCGUGGCGUUAUAUUCGGUGUUCGAAAUGGGAAGUUGCGUUUGGGAAUUUUUUAAGAGAAACAACGUUAUGGCUUGAAGCGUUUCAAGUUUGGUUCGACUGACUUUAGCCAUGACCAGGUCAUGAUCCUUCGUUCGCUAAAGCAUCGAAAAUAUUCGAGCCUAGCUUGGUAAAUACCAACGGCGAACCCAUAAUUUUUUUUUAUGUGGGGUUAUACACUACAAGAAAACAGCGAUAUUCUGACGGACAUUCCGACGGAAAAUGAAAUCCUCGGAAUAUACCGAGGAAUU
Molecule: RNA transcript, 1288 nt
Organism: Brassica napus (rape)
Lineage: Eukaryota; Viridiplantae; Streptophyta; Magnoliopsida; Brassicales; Brassicaceae
Gene name: CASP-like protein 4C1
Exons: 3
Source: RefSeq, a predicted model, not a curated record